Molecule: long non-coding RNA, 188 nt
Filed under: Cricetulus griseus (Chinese hamster)
Lineage: Eukaryota; Metazoa; Chordata; Mammalia; Rodentia; Cricetidae
Description: lncRNA (ENSCGRG00000024373.1)
Source: RNAcentral
CCACUCUUCCUCCAGAGUUGUGAUGUGAUCCACCGGCAAGGGAAGACACCAAUGGAAGGCGUCUGGGUAAAGAGACAUCUUAUCAACAGAAGGAACUGCAGAAGAGGAGCUGAGCCUGUUGGGGGUUUUCAGUCCUGUUGCUUCUUGCUGGGAAAGGAGGCCAGAGCCUGGAGCUGGGCAAAUCAUCU